RNAcentral lists this ribosomal RNA (140 nucleotides) under uncultured eukaryote. Its description in RNAcentral is "partial 18S ribosomal RNA". It matches the Rfam family "Eukaryotic small subunit ribosomal RNA", at positions 1299 to 1458 of the family's 1831-position model. The record is from RNAcentral.
UGGUGGAGUGAUUUGUCUGGUUAAUUCCGUUAACGAGCGAGACCUUAUUCUGCUAAAUAGGAACAAAUAACUUGUUUUGUUUGGACAACUUCUUAGAGGAACUUUGUGUGUUCAACACAAGGAAGUUUGAGGCAAUAACA